GGACUUAACGAUAACUGAAAAAAUUGAAUUAUAAAUGCCAAUGCAUUGCUGGCAUAGUCAUUUCUUUCAAUUCAUCAUGAUUAGUUUUGCAGUUAAAUCUCUGAAUUAUGCCAUUACAACUCCAACAAUAAAUCAGAGGUUGGAAAACUGCCAAACAUCCAACCCCACCCCAAAGCUCCACUAAGUGAGUAUCUCAAUCAGUAUACAAGGUAGGAAAGGGUGAAAAUGAAUUGACCAAGCUUAAUAUUCUAUUGUCCAGGCUUGGCUCAACUAAAUUGUGGCACUGAUUGAGUUU
RNAcentral lists this unclassified non-coding RNA (295 nucleotides) under Hevea brasiliensis (rubber tree). Lineage: Eukaryota; Viridiplantae; Streptophyta; Magnoliopsida; Malpighiales; Euphorbiaceae. The record is from RNAcentral.